This 258-nucleotide ribosomal RNA is filed under the name Burkholderia sp. ISOM125_OTU134. Its description in RNAcentral is "partial 16S ribosomal RNA". It matches the Rfam family "Bacterial small subunit ribosomal RNA", at positions 30 to 289 of the family's 1533-position model. The record is from RNAcentral. Lineage: Bacteria; Pseudomonadati; Pseudomonadota; Betaproteobacteria; Burkholderiales; Burkholderiaceae.
UUGAACGCUGGCGGCAUGCCUUACACAUGCAAGUCGAACGGCAGCACGGGGGCAACCCUGGUGGCGAGUGGCGAACGGGUGAGUAAUACAUCGGAACGUGUCCUGUAGUGGGGGAUAGCCCGGCGAAAGCCGGAUUAAUACCGCAUACGCUCUACGGAGGAAAGGGGGGGAUCUUCGGACCUCCCGCUACAGGGGCGGCCGAUGGCAGAUUAGCUAGUUGGUGGGGUAAAGGCCUACCAAGGCGACGAUCUGUAGCUG